RNAcentral lists this ribosomal RNA (492 nucleotides) under uncultured bacterium. Its description in RNAcentral is "partial 16S ribosomal RNA". It matches the Rfam family "Bacterial small subunit ribosomal RNA", at positions 29 to 507 of the family's 1533-position model. The record is from RNAcentral.
AGUGAACGCUGGCGGUAGGCCUAACACAUGCAAGUCGAACGGCAGCACAGUAAGAGCUUGCUCUUACGGGUGGCGAGUGGCGGACGGGUGAGGAAUACAUCGGAAUCUACUUUUUCGUGGGGGAUAACGUAGGGAAACUUACGCUAAUACCGCAUACGACCUACGGGUGAAAGCAGGGGAUCUUCGGACCUUGCGCGAUUGAAUGAGCCGAUGUCGGAUUAGCUAGUUGGCGGGGUAAAGGCCCACCAAGGCGACGAUCCGUAGCUGGUCUGAGAGGAUGAUCAGCCACACUGGAACUGAGACACGGUCCAGACUAAUACGGGAGGCAGCAGUGGGGAAUAUUGGACAAUGGGCGCAAGCCUGAUCCAGCCAUACAGCGUGGGUGAAGAAGGCCUUCGGGUUGUAAAGCCCUUUUGUUGGGAAAGAAAAGCAGCAGGUUAAUACCCCGCUGUUCUGACGGUACCCAAAGAAUAAGCACCGGCUAACUUCGUG